UGUUUCAGCAGUUACUGGUGUUAGUGUACCUGAUUUUCUAGAUCCGUGCUCAUGUUUUUGACCCUGUCAUUUGCGUAGGUGUUUUUGUAUUGUCUACCAUUGUGUCCGCCUGCCUGCGUACCAAACCCUUUUGUGAAUGAUCAUUACGAGGAGAGCUAGCAUCAUGCCCAACAUUAUGUACAAGUUAGUGGUCAGUCCUCCAGCCCACAAAGGACCCAAGAUGGUGGCCAGGCCCCCAACUGAGCGUCUGACACCCUGGCUGAAUCCUUUUGUGACUUUAGAGAAGAGAGACACCUGAGACACGGCCACGAAGGGAAGCCCCAGCAGCUGCAGAAACACUCCGACGAUGAAGGCCGACAGCUCCCAUCCAUAUCCACCUGGCAGGGGUGGACAGAUAAUACCCUGGUUAGCACCUCGGGGGUUGCAGAGGAAGAUGAGGCACCAGAUACAAGCGGUGCAGCAGAUGACCAGGCCCACGGCCAGCACGG
Long non-coding RNA from Plectropomus leopardus (leopard coralgrouper), 488 nucleotides. RefSeq lists it as uncharacterized. NCBI's taxonomy places the organism in Eukaryota, Metazoa, Chordata, Actinopteri, Perciformes, Serranidae. The record is from RefSeq and is a predicted model, not a curated record.